AUUGAACGCUGGCGGCAGGCCUAACACAUGCAAGUCGAACGGUAACAGGCAGCAGCUUGCUUCUUUGCUGACGAGUGGCGGACGGGUAAGAAAUGUCUGGGCAACUGCCUGAUGGAGGGGGAUAACUACUGGAAACGGUAGCUAAUACAGAAUAAUGUCGCAAGCCCAAAGAGGGGGAGAUUCGGGCCUCUUGCCAUCGGGUGUGCCCAGAUGGGAUGCGCUAGGAGGUGGGGUAACGUCUCACCUAGGCGACGAUCUGUAGCUGGUCUGAGAGGAUGACCGGCCACACUGGAACUGAGACACGGUCCAGACUACUACGGGAGGGAGCAGUGGGGAAUAUUGCACAAUGGGCGCAAACAUUAUGCAGCGAUGCCGAGUGUAUGAAGAAGGCGUUCGGGUUGUAAAGUACGUUCAGGGGGGAGGAAGCGAGUAAAGUUAAUACCUUGGCUCAUUGACGUUACCCGCAGAAGAAGCACCGGCUAACUCCGUG
Molecule: ribosomal RNA, 490 nt
Filed under: uncultured bacterium
Lineage: Bacteria
Description: partial 16S ribosomal RNA
Rfam family: Bacterial small subunit ribosomal RNA
Source: RNAcentral